UCUUCUUGAUGGGUGAUUUUUUCUUUCCUUGACCGGUUCAUUAAUCUUGGGCUUCCUCGAACGAGGGACUUUCAAGGUGUAAACCCCAAUAGCUUUGAUGGUCAUGGAAAUUAUAGCAUUGGCUUUCGUGAACAGAGUGUCUUCCCGGAGCUAAGUUAUGAUGCUCUUGGUAAGCCAAGAGGAAUGGAUGUUUGCAUAACAACAACAGCUGAGACAGAUAAAGAGGCACAUAGAUUACUGGCCCUCAUGGGUAUGCCAUUUAGAGAAGGUGCUGUUGGGCAGGCAAAUGUCAUGCGAAAGAAAAGGCUUAGAGCUCACCAUUUUGACUCAAAAGCAAAGCAAAGGUCUAGGAGAUGAGGUUGAUCCAAUUUCCAGGGUUAAUUGAGUUGAUUUGUUGCUCUUCCAGCAUGGUUUUCGGCUUUUUUAGCGUACAAUUGGGAUGGAAAAAUCUUUACUUGCACAUUUACUAUCAUGUUGGUGAUAUCUUGAAGAUACAUGAUUUAUGUUUUUCUCUUCAUAUUCCCAUAUCUUUUGUGUGAUUUCAGCCCUGCAGGUCACUGGUAAAUCACUACAAUCUCAUUGCUUCUAGUAAUUCUUUUUUGUUAUCAAUUUUGAAAUGUUAACGUAACUUUUGAAUAACUCAUUGAGUCAGGUUUUAACUAAUUUAACUCAAAAUUUUGCACUAUUUCAUUUUCUUACUCUUCCCAUGAUGGAUUGUACUUGAAUACUAGCUCCUACUAUUUAGAAGCAGGAGUAAGUAGGUCUUCGUCGUCCUGUUGCGGCUCAAAAGGUCAGUUUUACCCCUCUACUUAGUUUACAUUAUUUCCUAGCUGAACUUAAAUUGGGCCACUUUAGAGCCCUUUUAGGUAAAGAAAAAGUGGUGUUUGCCUUUUGCAAUUCCUCUGUCUUCUUUCAGUCUCUCCGGGUUCUCCGAUUUUUCUCUCCUUUCUUUGUUUCUGCUUAUGAAAUUAUUGAGUUAUGUUGUUUCUAUCGUGGUCCGAAGUUAGUGGCGAUGUAACGAGUACGGAGAUGUGCAUAUAUUGUUUUGGUUUUAAUUUGGUCAUUUAAAAGGCUUUUGCUAAUUUCUGUGAUUCAAGGAGAAAACUUGCAUAUAUUUAUAGCUCAAAGCAGUGUCUCAGCUUUGAAGGAUAGUGGAAAACAUGUCAGUAGUUGGCCUCUACUUUUUGAGAUGUACUGAAUUAUUUCAGCAUAUGAUAUGGAAACAUGUCAUUAUAUUUGGUAUCUAUAUUUUCAGAUUCAAUAAUUGUGAACUUCGGUUAUUGUUGAUAGAAGUAUGAUUGGAUUCGAUUCUUCAACAACUGAUUAUCCGGGGAAAAUUCCUAGAGGAGCAGACGUCCCAAGCGAUGAUGAUGAUACCGGUGAGGAGCAUCGCCUAAAUUAUUUGAAUUGCCGGGAAACCAAAAAUUUUAGUUUGGAAUGUUUCUUCCGAAGUAAGAUAGUGAAUGCUCAUGUGCUUAAAUUAGCGUUAUUAGGCUGACUAAGGGGUAUCAGUUUUCUGAGAAAUUUUAUUCAAGCAAGUGCUAGUGUCGUUCCUUCUAUGUCGUACAAGCAUUAUUAAGCAUUUAUUGUUGUAAUACUUUAUACAACACAUUAAUGACUGGAGACAGGAGGACUGGAAGGCUGCCUGCCUUCCAGGCGUUCAUGGUUUGAA
Long non-coding RNA from Nicotiana tabacum (common tobacco), 1672 nucleotides. RefSeq lists it as uncharacterized. NCBI's taxonomy places the organism in Eukaryota, Viridiplantae, Streptophyta, Magnoliopsida, Solanales, Solanaceae. The record is from RefSeq and is a predicted model, not a curated record.